RNAcentral lists this ribosomal RNA (558 nucleotides) under uncultured fungus. RNAcentral describes it as "eukaryotic LSU rRNA". The stretch from base 153 to 307 matches the Rfam family "5.8S ribosomal RNA". Lineage: Eukaryota; Fungi. The record is from RNAcentral.
ACCUGACCACUGUUGCUUCGGCGAGCCCGUCUGUAAUGGACCGCCGGGGGGUACCUUGAUCGGCCCUCUGGUCCGCGCUCGUCGAUAGCCAAACUUUUAAAAUCUUAACCAAACGUGUCUCAAUCUAAGUAUUAUUUGUUAAAUAAAAGCAAAACUUUCAACAACGGAUCUCUUGGUUCUGGCAUCGAUGAAGAACGCAGCGAAAUGCGAUAAGUAAUGCGAAUUGCAGAAUUUCAGUGAGUCAUCGAAUCUUUGAACGCACAUUGCGCCCUUUGGUAUUCCGAAGGGCAUGCCUGUUCGAGCGUCAUUAUCACCCCUCAAGCCCCCGGCUUGGUGUUGGACGGUUUGGUGGAGGCCCCCUCGCGGGGCCACCGCCCCUCCCAAAGACAAUGACGGCGGCCUCGUUGGACCCCCGGUACACUGAGUUCUUCACGGGACACGUAUCGGACACAUGGGUUUACGGGACACGGUCUGCCUCCCCUCAGGGAGAAUCUUUCUAAGGUUGACCCCGGAUCAGGUAGGGAUACCCGCUGAACUUAAGCAUAUCAAUAAGCGGAG